RNAcentral lists this ribosomal RNA (451 nucleotides) under uncultured organism. RNAcentral describes it as "partial 16S ribosomal RNA". It matches the Rfam family "Bacterial small subunit ribosomal RNA", at positions 330 to 797 of the family's 1533-position model. The record is from RNAcentral.
CGUACACUCCUACGGGAGGCAGCAGUGGGGAAUCUUGCGCAAUGGGCGAAAGCCUGACGCAGCCAUGCCGCGUGAAUGAUGAAGGUCUUAGGAUUGUAAAAUUCUUUCACCGGGGACGAUAAUGACGGUACCCGGAGAAGAAGCCCCGGCUAACUUCGUGCCAGCAGCCGCGGUAAUACGAAGGGGGCUAGCGUUGCUCGGAAUUACUGGGCGUAAAGGGAGCGAAGGCGGACAUUUAAGUCAGGGGUGAAAUCCCGGGGCUCAACCUCGGAAUUGCCUUUGAUACUGGGUGUCUUGAGUAUGAGAGAGGUGUGUGGAACUCCGAGUGUAGAGGUGAAAUUCGUAGAUAUUCGGAAGAACACCAGUGGCGAAGGCGACACACUGGCUCAUUACUGACGCUGAGGCUCGAAAGCGUGGGGAGCAAACAGGAUUAGAAACCCCAGUAGUCCCA